CACGUAGGCACCAAGCGUUGUCCGGAUUUAUUGGGCGUAAAGAGCUCGUAGGCGGUUCAGUAAGUCGGGUGUGAAAACUCUGGGCUUAACCCAGAGCCGCCACCCGAUACUGCUGUGACUAGAGUCCGGUAGGGGAGUGGGGAAUUCCUAGUGUAGCGGUGAAAUGCGCAGAUAUUAGGAGGAACACCGGUGGCGAAGGCGCCACUCUGGGCCGGAACUGACGCUGAUGCGCGAAAGCGUGGGUAGCAAACAGG
RNAcentral lists this ribosomal RNA (254 nucleotides) under uncultured bacterium. RNAcentral describes it as "partial 16S ribosomal RNA". It matches the Rfam family "Bacterial small subunit ribosomal RNA", at positions 524 to 776 of the family's 1533-position model. The record is from RNAcentral.